Molecule: ribosomal RNA, 327 nt
Filed under: uncultured eukaryote
Lineage: Eukaryota
Description: partial 18S ribosomal RNA
Rfam family: Eukaryotic small subunit ribosomal RNA
Source: RNAcentral
CCCUUAGAUGUUCUGGGCCGCACGCGCGCUACACUGAUUCAUGCAACAAGUUUUGUCCUUGGCUGAUAGGCCUGGGUAAUCUUUGAACGUGAAUCGUGAUGGGGAUAGAUGAUUGCAAUUAUUCAUCUUCAACGAGGAAUUCCUAGUAAACGCAAGUCAUCAACUUGCAUUGAUUACGUCCCUGCCCUUUGUACACACCGCCCGUCGCACCUACCGAUUGAAUGGUCCGGUGAAAUCUUCGGAUCUGAGAGAUGUCUGAUUAAUUUCGGACGCCUUUUGGAAAAGUUGUUUAAACCUUACCAUUUAGAGGAAGGUGAAGUCGUAACA